Molecule: ribosomal RNA, 550 nt
Filed under: uncultured bacterium
Lineage: Bacteria
Description: bacterial SSU rRNA
Rfam family: Bacterial small subunit ribosomal RNA
Source: RNAcentral
UGAGGAAUAUUGCGCAAUGGGGGAAACCCUGACGCAGCAACGCCGCGUGGGUGAAGAAGGCCUUCGGGUCGUAAAGCCCUUUCGGACGGGACGAACGCUCCGCGGUGACAACCCGCGGAGCCUGACGGUACCGUAAGAAGAAGCACCGGCUAACUCCGUGCCAGCAGCCGCGGUAAUACGGAGGGUGCAAGCGUUGUUCGGAAUUACUGGGCGUAAAGCGCGUGUAGGCGGCCUUGCAAGCCGGACGUGAAAGCCCUCGGCUUAACCGGGGAAGUGCGUCUGGAACUGCUCGGCUCGAGUACGGGAGAGGGAGGCGGAAUUCCCAGUGUAGAGGUGAAAUUCGUAGAUAUUGGGAGGAACACCGGUGGCGAAAGCGGCCUCCUGGACCGAUACUGACGCUGAGACGCGAAAGCGUGGGGAGCAAACAGGAUUAGAUACCCUGGUAGUCCACGCUGUAAACGAUGGGCACUAGGUGUGGGGGGUAUCCACUCCUCCCGUGCCGCAGCUAACGCAUUAAGUGCCCCGCCUGGGGAGUACGGCCGCAAGGUUA